UGUGCUGUUCGAAAGACCCGGGUCCAUCAGCGGAUGGGGAGGUUCCCC
Molecule: non-coding RNA, 48 nt
Submitted as: unclassified sequences
Source: Rfam